Long non-coding RNA from Homo sapiens (human), 427 nucleotides. RefSeq annotates it as TMEM212 antisense RNA 1. The transcript has 3 exons. NCBI's taxonomy places the organism in Eukaryota, Metazoa, Chordata, Mammalia, Primates, Hominidae. The record is from RefSeq and is marked validated.
UAGCCACAGCGGCAUCGGCUGAGACCUUCAUCCUGAUUGUUCCUUGGGUGCUGUUUAGUGCCAGCCACUGAAGAGAACCUCCUUGUUUCCACCCACGUGGCCCCAUCUGGUUUCAGGGCCUCCUCUGUGCUAUUUUGGGGUGCGAGGAGAUCAUUUUUCAACGCCUACAGCAUGGCGGGACUGGGAACUCCACAGCCUCCGCAACACUUUUCGUGCCGCCAUUUCUUCUCAGGGUCUUGCCGCCUUUCUCAAGCUCAGCCUGUGGAGUAAAGCGCAGGCACAUCUCUCAGAGACGAGGUCCAUUAUAUUGCCCAGGCUGGUCUCAAGCUCCUGGGCUCAGGUGAUCCUCCCACCUUGGCCUCCCCAAAUGCUGGAAUUACAGUUAUUGCUUGAUGGAUUCUGCUAACUCCCAGGAGAAUCCAAGUGG